Molecule: ribosomal RNA, 613 nt
Filed under: Meloidogyne enterolobii
Lineage: Eukaryota; Metazoa; Nematoda; Chromadorea; Rhabditida; Meloidogynidae
Description: partial large subunit ribosomal RNA
Rfam family: Eukaryotic large subunit ribosomal RNA
Source: RNAcentral
UGUAAAACUCGGGACCUCUUCAGUGUUGAAGAAAGAAGCAUCAUGGUUUUCUGUGAUGCAUUUGCUUGUUUGGUGCUUGGGGAUGUUUGAGGCAGAUUUGUAACCGCCGUUUUGAGGCCAGCUUGCUGGUACCCAAACAGCGUUAGCUUCUUUUGUCUUGGACAUUUGAGUAUGGUUUACGGGCAUUUAUUGGUUCGAUCUGAUUGUAAGUUACGGUCGCAUGCGACACGUGCUUUUCAUUUAGAUCGGUCCAGUUAAUGCUCUCGUACUCGCUCCCCAUGUAAAAGCCGGUCAUCUAUCCGACCCGUCUUGAAACACGGACCAAGGAGUUUAUCGUGUGCGCAAGUUUUUGGGUGUUAAAAACCUAAAAGCGAAAUGAAAGUAAAUGGCUCUUUAGAGUCUGACGUGCGAUCUUGUAAAAAAGGGCAGCAUGGCCCCAUUCUAACUGUUUACAGUAGGGUGGAGGAAGAGCGUACGCGGUGAGACCCGAAAGAUGGUGAACUAUUCCUGAGCAGGACGAAGCCAGAGGAAACUCGUCCGAAGCGGUUCUGACGUGCAAAUCGAUCGUCUGACUUGGGUAUAGGGGCGAAAGACUAAUCGAACCAUCAGCGGA